AUCGCAAGACCUGGCGCUUGAUGAGGGGCCCGCGCCUGAUUAGCUAGUUGGUGGGGUAAUGGCUCACCAAGGCAACGAUCAGUAUCCGGCCUGAGAGGGCGGACGGACACACUGGGACUGAGACACGGCCCAGACUCCUACGGGAGGCAGCAGUGGGGAAUUGUUCGCAAUGGGCGCAAGCCUGACGACGCAACGCCGCGUGGAGGAUGAAGGUCUUCGGAUUGUAAACUCCUGUUGCCCGGGACGAACGGCUCCGACCUAACACGUCGGAGUGUGACGGUACUCAGGGUGAGGAAGCUCACACAGGCUAACUCUGUGCUAGUNNACACAGCGUAAUUC
Molecule: ribosomal RNA, 339 nt
Filed under: uncultured bacterium
Lineage: Bacteria
Description: bacterial SSU rRNA
Rfam family: Bacterial small subunit ribosomal RNA
Source: RNAcentral